UCUCCGUUGGUGAACCAGCGGAGGGAUCAUUACUGAGUUCUACAAAACUCCCAACCCUUUGUGAAUCAUACCACUGUUGCCUCGGCGCCGAGCGGCAGCUACCCGGGAGCUACCCUGUAGAUGCGAGAGCAUCUACCCUGUAGCUACCCUGUAGUUGUAUUUCACGCUCCGCCGGUGGACCACUCAACUCUGUUUUACAGUGUAUCUCUGAGUAACUAAACUAAAUAAGUUAAAACUUUCAACAACGGAUCUCUUGGUUCUGGCAUCGAUGAAGAACGCAGC
RNAcentral lists this unclassified non-coding RNA (282 nucleotides) under uncultured fungus. RNAcentral's name for it is "sequence contains ITS1, 5.8S rRNA gene". The stretch from base 234 to 282 matches the Rfam family "5.8S ribosomal RNA", at positions 1 to 49 of the family's 154-position model. The record is from RNAcentral. Lineage: Eukaryota; Fungi.